GGAGCAGGGGUUUUUCUGAUCCUGGAAGGUAGAAAAAGUAGAGCUAGGUUUUAUGUCAAUAAGGAGAAGCACGUCAGGGCAAUUCUUAUCCUUUUGUAACCGUGUAGCUUGGAGGUUGAAAUAGGUUUGUGAAUAGAGCCUGGAAUUGGAAGCCAAGUGGUGGAGUUCAACGAAGGGUAUAAAUCUCUUUUUUGCCUAUAUGUUGUUGGUGUUUUGUUACACAUUGAUCCUGCCUGUUGACCAGAACGCAAGAGUCUUCCCUCAUCAAAUCUGGAUCGACUUUGCACCGUGCUAGCUUCCGUCCUUCGCCUUGAUUCACCUCAAGAACCUGCAAAAGACAGAACGGCGCCGCUGCGGCCGAUCGCGCUCCGACGCCCAAGUCAGCGACUGAACCACCAAAAUACUAAGAGAAAACUAAGACUUCAGGAACCGUGCAAUGUUCUCUCUCAGCGUACUCAAGUUCUCGCAAGCGUAAAAGAAGUAUUCUAAAACCCGCGUAACUCAGAAGUUCGUUAGGAUCCCUUAUAUACCUGCGCACUUUCUCUCUCCUGACAGUUACACAUCUGGACACGUGGCUCGCAUCCAGCUGUACACGUGUCACCAUCUGGAGCAUUCUUGACUUGAGCGUCACCUCUUACUCUUCAGGCUUUUCGACCGAGUUACUUAUGCAGGAAGCAACUCAGCGUGUAGCUGCCUUGGAGCGCGAUCUCUGCUGUGUGGUGAGUACAGGUGUCUUCAUAUACACCUUCCCUGUGGUCUCGCCGGCCGCCAUUAUACUCUACUUUACUUACUUCACUGUGCAUGCUCGGGUAAGCUAUCCCCCGACCUCAACCUCUGGCCAGCUGAGAAACGACUAUCUGACGACUUCAUCCUUUGCUCCGAAAGCCUGGAACAAGCUUUCCUGAUGCUUCGGCGAUGUCCUCCUCUCGGCGAUCUCCGAUCGCCUUAUCACCUGGGUUCACACCCGGCGACUACAACACAAACUUGGUGACCGCCAGUUUAGAUAUGCUAGAGAUCGAGACACGCCAACUUAACGACUGACGAUCACACGAACCCCCCGACGUCCUUCCCUUCUGCCAGCCAGGUGUCCCGUUCAACACGCCUAUACUAUUGCUUGCGGCCACGUCAUCAAUUCCGACUACCUGGACGGUACACACAUCAUGUAGUUAAGGGCCUUUUGCAGCUUCCUGCCAUAUGAUCUAAAGCCUUUUUCUAAGGAUAUUGGUGGUGGCUUGCUUAAGAGGUGGCACGUGUUAAGUUGGUUAGCGGUGCAUGAGAGUUUAUGCAACCACAAUGCAUGAAUCUUUAUGUAGCCAUAAAGAAUGUGGAUGGAAAGGUGCUGGUGUGCGUGUAUUGAGGGAGCCUCCACACAAUGGUCUUAUAGACUAUUUUGAAUUUGGCAGAGAGCUGGUUGUAAAGUUUUUCUUUAGAAACCAAUAGCUUUAGUUUUAUUGGUUAUUGUACAUGGGUUGAGGUACCAGUACCUCCUUUACAAAAAAAAUUAUUUUUUUGAUGAUAAAAAAAAU
This 1526-nucleotide long non-coding RNA is filed under the name Phaseolus vulgaris (common bean). RNAcentral describes it as "long non-coding RNA (PVUL_LNC000746)". The record is from RNAcentral. Lineage: Eukaryota; Viridiplantae; Streptophyta; Magnoliopsida; Fabales; Fabaceae.